Oncorhynchus tshawytscha (Chinook salmon) is the source of this 470-nucleotide long non-coding RNA. NCBI's taxonomy places the organism in Eukaryota, Metazoa, Chordata, Actinopteri, Salmoniformes, Salmonidae. The record is from Ensembl.
AGUGUAUAGUGUAGAGUGUAUAGUGUAUAGUGUAUAGUGUAGAGUGUAUAGUGUAGAGUGUAUAGUGUAUAGUGUAUAGUGUAGAGUGUAUAGUGUAGAGUGUAGAGUGUAUAGUGUAGAGUGUAUAGUGUAGAGUGUAUAGUGUAGAGUGUAUAGUGUAUAGUGUAGAGUGUAUAGUGUAGAGUGUAUAGUGUAGAGUGUAUAGUGUAGAGUGUAUAGUGUAUAGUGUAUAGUGUAGAGUGUAUAGUGUAUAGUGUAGAGUGUAUAGUGUAGAGUGUAUAGUGUAGAGUGUAUAGUGUAGAGUGUAUAGUGUAUAGUGUAGAGUGUAUAGUGUAUAGUGUAGAGUGUAUAGUGUAUAGUGUAUAGUGUAUAGUGUAUAGUGUAGAGUGUAUAGUGUAUAGUGUAGAGUGUAUAGUGUAUAGUGUAGAGUGUAUAGUGUAGAGUGUAUAGUGUAGAGUGUAUAGUGUAGA